This 253-nucleotide ribosomal RNA is filed under the name uncultured bacterium. RNAcentral's name for it is "partial 16S ribosomal RNA". It matches the Rfam family "Bacterial small subunit ribosomal RNA", at positions 524 to 776 of the family's 1533-position model. The record is from RNAcentral.
UACGUAGGGUGCAAGCGUUGUCCGGAAUUAUUGGGCGUAAAGAGCUCGUAGGCGGUCUGUUGCGUCGGCUGUGAAAACCCGGGGCUCAACUCCGGGCCUGCAGUCGAUACGGGCAGACUAGAGUUCGGUAGGGGAGACUGGAAUUCCUGGUGUAGCGGUGAAAUGCGCAGAUAUCAGGAGGAACACCGGUGGCGAAGGCGGGUCUCUGGGCCGAAACUGACGCUGAGGAGCGAAAGCGUGGGGAGCGAACAGG